AUCGAUCGGUGCUAACUGAAAUCUAGGUGAACCUGCGGAAGGAUCAUUACCGAGUAUCGGGUGCUGUCGCGCCCCGCUCCCACCCUAUGUUUACCUAUAACCGUUGCUUUGGCGGGUCGGUGGGCCACCCACCGCCGGGCAGCGCCUGGAGAGCGCCCGCCAGAGGAUCAAACAAAACUCUUGUCAACCUGUCGCGCAUCUGAGCACAUGAGAAUAAGCAAAACUUUCAACAACGGAUCUCUUGGUUCUGGCAUCGAUGAAGAACGCAGCGAAAUGCGAUAAGUAAUGUGAAUUGCAGAAUUCAGUGAAUCAUCGAAUAUUUGAACGCACAUUGCGCCCCUCGGUACUCCGGGGGGCAUGCCUGUCCGAGCGUCAUUGAAACCCAUCAAGCUUGGCUUGGUCUUGGGCGCGGUCUUGGGUCCCGCCCGCAACACGUCGGCGGUGCCGGUUCGGCUCGGAGCGUAGUAAGACUCUCGCUCGGGGGCCGCGGCGGCGCCCGCCUAGAGAACACAUCUCAAGUUUGACCUCGGAUCAGGUAGGGAUACCCGCUGAACUUAAGCAUAUCAAUAAGCGGAGG
This 577-nucleotide ribosomal RNA is filed under the name uncultured fungus. Its description in RNAcentral is "eukaryotic LSU rRNA". The stretch from base 222 to 375 matches the Rfam family "5.8S ribosomal RNA". Lineage: Eukaryota; Fungi. The record is from RNAcentral.